AGCUUUACGAAGUGGCAAUAUCUUAGCCAAUGAGGUUUAUCUGAGGCACAAUUAUUGCUAACUGGAAACUUUUUCCAAUACCCCAAUGUAAUGACUUGUGAUAUAGUCAGCACUGGCAAUUUUUGACAGUCUCUACAGAGA
Small nuclear RNA from Lemur catta (Ring-tailed lemur), 141 nucleotides. RefSeq annotates it as U4 spliceosomal RNA. Lineage: Eukaryota; Metazoa; Chordata; Mammalia; Primates; Lemuridae. The transcript has a single exon. The record is from RefSeq and is a predicted model, not a curated record.